This 960-nucleotide long non-coding RNA is filed under the name Canis lupus familiaris (dog). Its description in RNAcentral is "lncRNA (ENSCAFG00000056095.1)". The record is from RNAcentral. Lineage: Eukaryota; Metazoa; Chordata; Mammalia; Carnivora; Canidae.
UUCAUCUGUGGAAUUUUUUUUUUUUAAGUAGUCUCCAUGCCCAUCAUGGAACCCAGUGUGGGGUUUGAACUCAAUACCCUGAGAUCAAGACCAGAGCUGAGAUCAAGAGUCAGACACUUAACCAACUGAGUCUACCAGGCAUCCCUCAUCUGUGGAAUUUUGAAUGUUUCAUCUAUUUUCUUCUGCAGCCUUUUCAAUUAUUUUUCUGGAAGUGAUGUUCACCAUUUGCAUUUCUGAUCCCUGGUGGUGGUGUCUACUAUCCAUGCUACUCUGACACUCACUCACUGCUGCUCUCCAGUGUCCCAGCUCUGAGGUUGUUCUCCCUUUACCCUUGUGAUUCCUGUCCUUUUUCCUCUCGGAGAUUUCUAGCUAAGGGAAAGGAUGGUCCCUAUUCUCACUAGUCCUAAGGCAGGCUUGGCCUCCUUGGUUUCUUGCAGCCCCUUGAUGUUAAUACUUACUAGCCUUUCCCUUUCUCUUGUAGAUCUCUUUCAAGGUCCCCAGAAAUUGGUUGGAAAGCAACCAGUGUGGACGCUAAGAAUGCCAUAUUCACAAAUAUUUCUCAUUCCACUUGUGCCAACCCGUGGGCCCAGCCAGACCUCAACUGCUGUCUCCCAACUCAGAUUUCUUUAAAACUUUGUCAGACUCCUAAGAAAUGUACAGGCUGAUGCGAGUGUACAUUACUGGCUUCCAACAGAAGAACCUAUGCAGCAGAUUAGAAGGAUUCAAGAGUGGGAGAUAGAUACAGCUUCUCUCCAGGAAGCUCUUCCCUGUAACUAUACCAUCCUUUAUUUCUCAGGCCGAGCCUUGGGGAUCUAGAAACAGUGCUGUGAUCUGACAUUAUCACUAAGUUUCUUUCCAUGUACCCUGUGUACUUGUUUAUUAAUAUUCUUUAUUAAAUCUUUCUAGAAUAAUCAUAAUUGGAGUAUUCAUUCUAUUUCCUAUUGGGAGCCUGAAAGAAAA